Long non-coding RNA from Cercocebus atys (sooty mangabey), 3845 nucleotides. RefSeq lists it as uncharacterized. The record is from RefSeq and is a predicted model, not a curated record. Lineage: Eukaryota; Metazoa; Chordata; Mammalia; Primates; Cercopithecidae. The transcript is spliced from 7 exons.
GCCCCGCCCCCGGCCUGGUUCCUCUGGCGAUCGAGACCGCCCCGGGACGCAGGAGGAGGGGCGCGGCGGCUCCGGAAAGUUCAGCUCUGCCCAGGCGAGUGUGCCCGUGGGCCGGAGGAGGGACAGAGGCAGGUCGGCCUGUCUGCCUGGACGCGGAUCUGGGCGCCGUAGGUGCCCCGGGAAGCGCAGGGGUGGGGGGUACCCGGGAGGAAGGUGGCCAGGGCUGCUGCGGGGGCCGGUGGCGGCGGAGGGGACCGUGGGAGGCAAGGGCCGUUCCCCGCGCGGCGCAGAAUGCGCGGGUCCUGCGGCCCUGCCGAAGGAGGAGUCUGGGGACCCAGGCCCCCACGCUGGGAGAGCGCCGGGACCCUGGCCUGAUCCGCUCGGAUGAUCUCCAGGACUUAGGCGAGUGAGCUCAGCGACUGCUGAGGAAUGAAUGAUUGAAGGAAUGAAUGCAUGAAUGGAAGGAGGGAGGGAAAGUGGGCGGGCUCUACCCUCUGGGCCAGCUCUAGCCCUCACCGACCUGGCCUAGCUCCCCUAGCCUUCGAGGGGUCUGAAGGGCGCUGGCGCAGCCUAUUUGCCUAAUACUGGCUCUGAGGAGUCCCCGCCGAGAAACCGAGGCAGCCUUGCGGCCCAGGGCUGGUCAGCCUUGGCAGUGGCGUCUGACCUGGAGUCUGGGGCAGCUGGUCUGGGAGAGGCUGCGCCACGCAACCGAGGGUUGGACCCAGGGCCUCUGCUCCCUUCCCACCGCGCCCAGCCCACCCCGCCCUCCCUCCCUGAUCCCCGCAAGCCAGGUGGGGCCCAGAGGGGACGUGACUCCCUUUCUGCAGAGGCAGCCCCGGAAGGGCCUGGGUGAGGCUGCUGGACAGGGCAGCGGGGCACCCUCCUCCCGGAGCCCACGCUUCUGGUCUGAGGCUCGGAUCCCCACUGCCUCCUGCGCGCGGAGGAGGGGAGAAGCGCCCGGAGACGGGGGCCACAGACGGCACCCCGCAGGCUGCCAUUCCUUCAGCCAAGAUGUAGAGAACGCCGUGGACAAAAGCUUUAAAAAAAUUCUGAAACCUCUGCCCGUGGAAGUCAACAUUUUUGCGGAGCAGAGAGCCCAGGCACAAAAUAAGAAGGCGGAAGAGACGAACUGGGGGGGUAGGGGGACUGCGGCGGGAGGGCAGGUAGUGCGGCGGCGAGGGCGCAGGAAGCCCUGAAGCCGGGCGGCUUCCCCCUCCCAGGUCAAGCUGAGAGAUGGGGGUUGGGGGGGAUUUAAAAUCGCGCGCCUGGCAGGGGCGGGACGGGGGCCACCUGCCCUCCGGCGGGAAGGGCUGGGCAGGGCCCGCGGCGCGCAGGGUGGAGGCCCCAACGGUCAGCACACAGGCGAGGUGGGGCGCGUAAUCCCAUCUGAGUCGGACUCUUUAGGACGAGUCCCGUCCCUGGAGCCAGAGAACCCGGUCCAGCGCCUGCAUGGACGUGCGCUUCCCGGAACGCGCUCAGGGACGCCUGCUAGGACCGGCGAGGCUGGAGGGGUCGCGAUGUUGGGGGCUGAGGUUCCUCUCCCCCGGGCCGGCGGCUGCUGGUAGGGGACCGCAUCGCCCGGCAGUGAGUGGGUGUCUCAUGUCACUGUUGAGACACCCGAGACCCUCGGAGGGAAACCUGUGGGAAGGAGCUGCCAGCCUCCUCCUAGGAACCAGGUGACCCCAGGAUCACGGCUCAGGUGCAUCCCGCCCUGGAAACCCUGUGAGGAGCUCUGUGGGGCCUCGCUCAGAAAGGGGGCCUGGGAAGAAGCAGCUGCCAGCCCAUGGCCCAAGCCUACAGGGGCCACAGGUGUGGCCACUGGAGUGGAGGGAGGUGCCUUUGGUGGAGGAGCCUUGCAACCCUGGGUCUGGCUGCACCUGCCACAUAAGAACCCUGCUGGGGUGCUGUUCUCUCACUGCUGCGUGGAUGCAUGGAGCCUCCGGGAACAGGCAGCAGGGGAGGCCAGGCCAGCAGGACCUGUGGGCGCCACGCCUUGGCAGGUGCCAGGCAACAGGAUCGUGCCAUGGCGGUGACAUGGGAGAAUGCAGGAACCUGAGAGGUGAGAGGGAAUAAGUUUCCAGAACUCACUCUCAGGCAGGAGACAUGACUCAGCUGAGCCAGAAAGCGCUUGUUCCACUCGAAUGCACGUAUGCGCAAGGCACGCCAGAACAGACUCUGUGGCAGUAAGAUAUCAAAUUACAAACAGGCCCUCAGGCCACAGCAGGGAAGGGUCGAGCCACCUACCCUACACUGAGAGGACGGACUCUGCCCUCACGCCACAGCUGCUUUUUCUCCAGCAGCUAAACACACACUGGCCCGGCCAUGAGCAAGAUUCAAAUGACUGCAGCCCAUCCACCCACAGACGCAAACUGACCACGUUCCACAGCCGUGACCACAGCUCUGACUGGGCAGAAGCCUGACUUCAGGAACCUCCUCCUGAUAAGGGACCCCCGACCGUGGACCGGCUCCGGCCGAUUUACAGAGGCUCCGCCUUGAGUGCCUUUGUGUUCCGAGAAGACCUCUGAGGUUUAGGACCUCAUUGCGACACACUGACGUGUUAGACUCCACCCCAGAGUGAACACAGGUCGUAUGUUACAUGCAUGUUUGUUCAGUACGUGUGCAGCAGGACCCCCUUCAUGAAUAACCUGCCGCACAGGUUUAGCCAACCCGGUCAGCACGGAGCUCCUGCCCUGGCCACCCCUCCCCUUCGAAGUGCCUCCUCCUGGCUCCUCUGGUCUUGGCAGAGGCCGUGCUUCCCAGCCUGGGGGACAGGGCCUUGCAGGCUGUGUCCCUUUACAGAAACAAAGUCUCCUGUUCUAAAAGCACAGAUCUUGUGAUUUUCAGUUCAUGGCAUUUGCUCCCCUUCCCAAUGGCUGGGUUUGCAUUCCAGCCACUCCAUGAGAUUCCAGCACCAAGGGAACCUCGACCCCGCCUGGACCCCCAGCAAAGGCUCCAGCCCACAGGUGCUGCCCACUCGUACCAGAUUGUCCACGAACAUCCAGAAGAAGGGUCUGGGGCUGCCUGGCCCGGGCCGCGCGUACUGCAGGAGCCGGUGGAACUGGAACAGCAGCAAUGGAGCCCUGCCCAGUGCCGGGGCCACAGAGGUGCGAGGACCCCUCCUCCCCCAGGCAGGCCCAGAGUUGGGAAGAGACAGGCAACUCCGAGGGAGGCGCGGACGCAGAGCGCGUGCCGUGGCACAAAUACCGCCUUUUAGAGGAAGCUCCAGAGGAUACGACAGACAGGCGUGGGCACCGAGAGGCAGCAGCAGUGGGCAAGGUCGCGUACGGUAGCACGAGAUGUCCCCAGGGCCGACCCUGCUCAGCUCGCAGGGCCCACAGGCCAGGGCAAGCUGAGAUGUGGAGCCCACUAGGGCAGAGCCAUCCCCAGCCACCACCAGCCUCAGGGGCUGCCUGCCUGGAGCCCAGAGGAGAACGCUCCGAAUCUGAGGUGAAGACUCUGUGCCACGUGUUUGGGGACUGAACUCUGCCUUUAUCUUUUCUUGCUCAAAUUCCUUUCUAAGGAGCGUGGGGGAAUCACGGCUUACAAACCACAAAAGCUUGUGGAAUGGGUGUUUUUGAGCCGGUAUAUUAUGGCUCUGCCAUGGCGUCACACGACAGACAGCAGACCUUAUUUUAACUCAAGCAUUCCUUUCUCCUGACUCCGAGUUUUCAGGCAAAGCUUAACUCUUUCAUCCAACUGCCAACUAAAGAAUCCCUAAUGUAAGCUGCAAAAUAUCCCGCCUUUUGGGGCUGAACCAAUGCACACCUAUGUAUUGAUUGAUUGAUUGAUUGAAUUUUUUGAGAUGGGGUCUCACUCUGUCACCCAGGCUGUAGUGCAAUGGUGAG